AUCACCGUAGCGAAUUGGAAGACUGGCUUUCAUUUCGAACCACCACGAAUUGCGCGAAGAUGGCACCGCAUGACAUUCGCCGUCCACACAAACGCCCCGCGAUCUCUGAUCAGCAGAAGCGGCGGGAACUUUCUUUGCAACGGCAACAGCAGAAUCGCCGCGAUGCUCAGCAACAAGCUCGUUCCUUAGCCUCCACGCUUCUCUCCCUCUCAUCCUCGUUCAACGAGCCUAGUACCUCCGAGCCGGUGCUGGAAAUUGAACUAAACGAACUCGAAUCAGAAACGGAAUGUUCGACGGAGAUCUUAGCGGAACGUGAGUUUAAUGAGCCUGCUCUGAAGGAACUCGAUGUUCGACAGGCAUCGAAGCUCAAAAGUUCAGAUGCUCGUAAGUGGUUUUCGAAGCAACUGCUACUUCCUGAGUGGAUGAUAGACGUUCCCGAUCGACUUACCGAUGACUGGUACGUGUUUGCAAGGCCUUCCGGUAAACGGUGCUUUGUAGUUUCAUCCAAUGGAACAACGAUCAGUAGGCUACGAAAUGGAUCGAUUCUGCAUCGUUUUCCUUCUGCUCUACCUAACGGAGCAAAGACAAAGAAUGCCUCUGGUUCCGGUCAAACAUAUUCUAUUCUAGAUUGUAUAUUUCAUGAACCAGAUCAAACGUACUACGUCAUUGAUAUGAUUUGUUGGCGAGGAUAUUCUCUUUAUGAUUGCGCAGCCGAGUUUCGGUUCUUCUGGCUCAAUUCCAAGCUCGCUGAAAGUGGAGCUUGUGAACCGCCUUCAUACUAUCACAAGUAUAAAUUCAGUUUGGUACCUGUAUACUCAUGCGAUCAAAAUGGUCUCCAUGCAGCUUAUGCAGGAGAAGCACCUUUUGUCAAGGAUGGUCUAUUAUUUUACAACAAGCACUCCCAUUACCAGCCAGGAAAUACACCGCUUGCUUUGGUCUGGAAGGAUGAGAAUUGCAGUCAAUAUGUUAUUGACACAGAUAGUAAUGGACAAGUUCCAAGCCAACAGCAGCUGGUUUUGGAGCUACAAAGUGAUGGGAAGGUGGCUACAUCAGAUGAUCCUCCUGUGUACUUUGGAUGCUUAGAUGGUGACUUUCUCGGAAAGUUAGGUUUGUCUUCAGGCAAUUUAUUGCGAUUCACCAUUGGUGAUGGAGGGUUAACAAUUGUGGACGGGAAGAUUCAGGGGGCUGAUUUACAAUACAAUGGCAAGGUCAAUCGAGCUCGAGCCUUUGCAGAUAGUUACUCCAAGGGUUCCAAUAUGCUGUAUGUUGUCCAUUAUAUAGCCAAGGAGAUCCUGCAUGAAACUAGGGCAGCUGUCUGUUCAACCAAAUUGAGUAAUACUACUGGGGGUGGUAUUGUUAAUCUUAAUUCGAUACUCGAAAGUUUGAAUCUGUUAGAUUUCGGUAUUCAACGUGGUUCAAGUUGAACGUUGGUGAAUCUUUUGCUGCAAACAACUUCAGUCCUUUUAGAGAUUCAGGUGCUGACCUUUCCAUCGAGGAUUAUUGAGUUGGUUUUACAAUUUACUGUAUAUCCACAGCUAAGCAGGAUCGACAAGCUGAAGGUUGGCUCAACCGAGCCAAAUGUCUCUGGAACAAUCAAUGGAAGUAACGGCAAUCGGUUAUGGAGAUUCUAUAGGUAUAUGCAAAGAGGAGGAGAAAUAGGGAGAAGUUCAAGCAGCCAAAGUUGUGGGUUGACAACUGUCGGGAACACAGGCCAAGACGUCUCUGUAGUCCCUUGAAAUGGUAAACGAAUCAUAAACCUUACCGUCGCUGCUUCUCUUGUACUCGAAGAGCAAAGAGGAGCGGUUGAAUGCUGUCAUCUUUACGAAUCCAUAAUCGAAAUCUCUAUAAAUGCUCCAUUUUGGGAUCUCUUCGGUGAAUGGGGAUAGGUGGCUCCCUGCUCCACCAACCACUACGUGGAUCGUGCCGUUCAUUGUGCCUGAAUACUGAGUUUUUUCCGCGUUCACGCAUUGAUGCUAUCACCACCGCCGUAAAAAAUUUAAUGUUAAUGAAUAAAAGAAAUGAAAUCUGAAGCGGUUAAAAUAGAGAGGCAAAAUUCUAUAAAUUGUCUAAAAUCUUAACACAACUCUAAAUAGAUUUAUAUUUUUGGAAGGUA
Molecule: RNA transcript, 2113 nt
Organism: Cucumis melo (muskmelon)
Lineage: Eukaryota; Viridiplantae; Streptophyta; Magnoliopsida; Cucurbitales; Cucurbitaceae
Exons: 10
Source: RefSeq, a predicted model, not a curated record